CCUACGGGAGGCAGCAGUGGGGGAUAUUGCACAAUGGGGGAAACCCUGAUGCAGCGACGCCGCGUGAGUGAAGAAGUAUUUCGGUAUGUAAAGCUCUAUCAGCAGGGAAGAAAAUGACAGUACCUGACCAAGAAGCCCCGGCUAACUACGUGCCAGCAGCCGCGGUAAUACGUAGGGGGCAAGCGGUAUCCGGAUUUACUGGGUGUAAAGGGAGCGUAGACGGCAGCACAAGUCUGGAGUGAAAUGCCGGGGCUGAACCCCGGAACUGCUUUGGAAACUGUGCAGCUAGAGUGCAGGAGAGGUAAGUGGAAUUCCUAGGGUAGCGGUGAAAUGCGGAGAUAUUAGGAGGAACACCAGUGGCGAAGGCGGCUUACUGGACUGUAACUGACGUUGAGGCUCGAAAGCGUGGGGAGCAAACAGGAUUAGAUACCCCUGUAGUC
RNAcentral lists this ribosomal RNA (440 nucleotides) under uncultured bacterium. RNAcentral describes it as "partial 16S ribosomal RNA". It matches the Rfam family "Bacterial small subunit ribosomal RNA", at positions 338 to 795 of the family's 1533-position model. The record is from RNAcentral.